UCAUUCACCCAGGCUUGAGGCUUGAGUGCAGUGGCAUGAUCUCAGCUUACUGCAGCCUCAACCUCCUGGACUCAGGUGAGAGGAACUACAGGUACAUGCCACCAUGCCUGGCUAGUUUUCAUAUUUUCUGUAGAGACAGGGUUUCACCAUGUUGCCCAGCCUGAUCUUCAACUCCUGCCUGCCUCGGCCUCCCAAAGUGCUAAGAUUACAGGUGUGAGCCGCCAUGCCUGGCCUGGAGGAUAUUUCUGAAACGGGUCACUUACACAGCCAUUGGCAGGCCUUGGUUCCUUACUUGGUGGGCUUCCCUGUAAGGCUGCUUGAGUGUUCUCUUGACAUGACAGCUGGCUUCCUCCAGAGUGAGUAAUUUGAGAAGAGGCAAGGUGGGGGGCCAUAAUGCCUUUUAUGACCUAGUCUUAGAAAAUGACAACACUUUCAUCUCCACAAUGUCCUACUGGCUACACAGGUAAAACCCUAUUCAAUGCAGGAAGGGACAAGAAAGUUGUGAAUACCAGGAGAUAAGAAUCACUGGGGGCCAUUUUGGAGCCUAGCUGACACAA
This 557-nucleotide long non-coding RNA is filed under the name Homo sapiens (human). RNAcentral's name for it is "novel transcript, antisense to SEPT2". Lineage: Eukaryota; Metazoa; Chordata; Mammalia; Primates; Hominidae. The record is from RNAcentral.